GUGCUCGCUUCAGUAGCACAUACUACACUGAAAUUGAAACGAUGCUGAGAAGAUUAGCAUGGCCCCUGUGCAAGAAUGACACACAAAUUCGGGAAGCGUUCCAUUAAAAA
This is a small nuclear RNA of Pipistrellus kuhlii (Kuhl's pipistrelle), 110 nucleotides long. The record is from RefSeq and is a predicted model, not a curated record. Lineage: Eukaryota; Metazoa; Chordata; Mammalia; Chiroptera; Vespertilionidae.